RNAcentral lists this ribosomal RNA (253 nucleotides) under uncultured bacterium. Its description in RNAcentral is "partial 16S ribosomal RNA". It matches the Rfam family "Bacterial small subunit ribosomal RNA", at positions 524 to 776 of the family's 1533-position model. The record is from RNAcentral.
UACGUAGGGGGCAAGCGUUGUCCGGAUUUAUUGGGCGUAAAGAGCGUGUAGGCGGCCAUACAGGUCCGUUGUGAAAACUGGAGGCUUAACCUCCAGACGUCGAUGGAAACCGUAUGGCUAGAGUCCGGAAGAGGAGAGUGGAAUUCCACGUGUAGCAGUGAAAUGCGUAGAGAUGUGGAGGAACACCGAUGGCGAAGGCGGCUCACUGGCCCGGUACUGACGCUGAGGCACGAAAGCUAGGGGAGCAAACGGG